This 593-nucleotide long non-coding RNA is filed under the name Linum usitatissimum (flax). Its description in RNAcentral is "long non-coding RNA (LUSI_LNC004942)". Lineage: Eukaryota; Viridiplantae; Streptophyta; Magnoliopsida; Malpighiales; Linaceae. The record is from RNAcentral.
CCGCAUUGGAGGGGAACUACGUAAAUCCCGGUGUUAUUUACUUACUGUUUUGUGCUUGGCGAUUUCGAGAAUAUUCGUUGUAUAUUGCUUUAUUAAUAUUACCACAAUAAAUUGGUCUAAGGAGGUUGGCUUAAUUAUCGUCAUUAUGGUAAUCACCCAUCCAUAGUGAUUUUAAGUGUGGCGGACUACCGCCACUUCCAACUUGCCUGGGAAAUAUUUAUUAGUGCAAUAUAUUUACUUUAUUCUCGUCAGCUGCGCCCCAACACCAGCAAUAUUCUUUUGUACAAUAUUUGUUUAGCCACAACCUUUUAUAUUGGAAAGUUGAACUCACAGCCCACCCUUUUAGUCCUUAUCCAUCGUUUAUGUAGUGUGUCGGGAUGUACCUCAAUUACAGUAGAGUCGUGGAGCACCAUAGGUAGUCCAAUGCUUAUAUUAGAUGCGUACACCACCAUCCACAUGUGUCGAAUGUCUGACAUGAGCACCAAAAUGUGAGAUUGUCUUGGUCAAUUAGUAGCGAUUUCUCAUCAAUUUUCAACCCUUAGUCGCCAGCCGUCCAUAUUUUCUAUGCCUUAUGCAGCCAUGGUCUUUUGAUU